AACGUAGGAGACGAGCGUUAUCCGGAUUUACUGGGCGUAAAGCGCGUGUAGGAGGCGCUACAAGUUGGAUGUGAAAGCUCCCGGCUUAACUGGGAGAGGUCGUUCAAGACUGUAGUGCUAGAGUGAGGCAGAGGUAGAUGGAACUCCGGGAGUAGUGGUGAAAUGCGUAGAUAUCCGGAAGAACACCAGAGGCGAAAGCGAUCUACUGGGCCUAAACUGACACUGAGACGCGAAAGCCAGGGUAGCAAACGGGAUUAGAGACCCCGGUAGUCCUGGCCGUAAACGAUGUAGACUGAGCGUUGGUUGGGUAAAACCAAUCAGUGCUGAAGCAAACGCGAUAAGUCUACCGCCUGGGGAGUACGGUCGCAAGAUUAAA
RNAcentral lists this ribosomal RNA (376 nucleotides) under uncultured bacterium. RNAcentral's name for it is "bacterial SSU rRNA". It matches the Rfam family "Bacterial small subunit ribosomal RNA", at positions 524 to 898 of the family's 1533-position model. The record is from RNAcentral.